AGGACGAACGCUGGCGGCAUGCCUAACACAUGCAAGUCGAACGGAGUUUGAGGAGCUUGCUCCUUGAACUUAGUGGCGGACGGGUGAGUAACGCGUGAGUAACCUGCCUUUCAGUGGGGAAUAAUAUUCUGAAAAGAGUACUAAUACCGCAUAACGUAUAGAAACCGCAUGGUUUUUAUACCAAAGAUUUAUCGCUGAGAGAUGGACUCGCGUCCGAUUAGCCAGUUGGUGAGGUAACGGCUCACCAAAGCAACGAUCGGUAGCCGGACUGAGAGGUUGAACGGCCACAUUGGGACUGAGACACGGCCCAGACUCCUACGGGAGGCAGCAGUGGGGGAUAUUGUGCAAUGGGGGAAACCCUGAACCACAGCAAUGCCGCGUGAAGGAUGAAGGUCUUCGGAUUGUAAACUUCUUUUGUCAAGGACGAUAAUGACGGUACUUGACGAAUAAGCUCCGGCUAACUACGUGCCAGCCGCCGC
Molecule: ribosomal RNA, 479 nt
Filed under: uncultured bacterium
Lineage: Bacteria
Description: bacterial SSU rRNA
Rfam family: Bacterial small subunit ribosomal RNA
Source: RNAcentral